AACGAACGCUGGCGGCAGGCUUAACACAUGCAAGUCGAACGCUCGUAGCAAUACGGGAGUGGCGGACGGGUGAGUAACGCGUGGGAACGUGCCCUGAGGUACGGAAUAACUGAGGGAAACUUCAGCUAAUACCGUAUGAGCCCCGAGAGGGGAAAGAUUAUCGCCUUGGAGCGCCCGCGUCGGAUUAGCUAGUUGGUGGGGUAACGGCCUACCAAGGCUUCGAUCCGUAGCUGGUCUGAGAGGACGAUCAGCCACACUGGGACUGAGACACGGCCCAGACUCCUACGGGAGGCAGCAGUGGGGAAUCUUGCGCAAUGGGGGGCAACCCUGACGCAGCCAUGCCGCGUGAACGAUGAAGGCCUUAGGGUUGUAAAGUUCUUUUACCCGUGACGAUGAUGACGGUAACGGGGGAAUAAGCUCCGGCUAACUUCGUGCCAGCAGCCGCGGUAAAGUACAGUGU
RNAcentral lists this ribosomal RNA (460 nucleotides) under uncultured bacterium. RNAcentral describes it as "bacterial SSU rRNA". It matches the Rfam family "Bacterial small subunit ribosomal RNA", at positions 29 to 533 of the family's 1533-position model. The record is from RNAcentral.